This 24-nucleotide non-coding RNA is filed under the name Arabidopsis thaliana (thale cress). The record is from RNAcentral. Lineage: Eukaryota; Viridiplantae; Streptophyta; Magnoliopsida; Brassicales; Brassicaceae.
UAGAACAUUUAUGGCGGACCGAUC